RNAcentral lists this ribosomal RNA (506 nucleotides) under uncultured bacterium. RNAcentral describes it as "bacterial SSU rRNA". It matches the Rfam family "Bacterial small subunit ribosomal RNA", at positions 28 to 508 of the family's 1533-position model. The record is from RNAcentral.
AGCGAACGCUGGCGGCGUGCCUAACACAUGCAAGUCGCACGAGAAAGGGGUCGCAAGACCCCCGGUACAGUGGCGAACGGGUGAGUAACACGUGGGUAACCUGCCCUUGGGUUCGGAAUAACCUGCCGAAAGGCGGGCUAAUACCGAAUGACUCCACGGGGUCCUCGGACCUCGUGGUUAAAGCUGACCUCUUCAUGAAAGUUGGCGCCUGGGGAGGGGCCCGCGUCCCAUUAGCUAGUUGGUGAGGUAACGGCUCACCAAGGCUCCGAUGGGUAGCCGGCCUGAGAGGGCGACCGGCCACAGUGGAACUGAGACACGGUCCACACUCCUACGGGAGGCAGCAGUGAGGAAUCUUGCGCAAUGGGCGAAAGCCUGACGCAGCGACGCCGCGUGGACGAUGAAGGCCUUCGGGUCGUAAAGUCCUGUCGGGUGGGAAGAAUUGGCUUGGGGCUAAUAUCCCCAGGCCUUGACUGUACCACCAGAGGAAGCCCCGGCUAACUCCGUGC